UCCCACAGGUAGCGAACCCUAAUUUAACACGGAGCAUUAACUAUUGCAGUCUCGGUUUAUAGGUACACUUCUUGCAAAUAUUGACUGCACUAUGUACAAUGUUGAUUUUGUACCAUGUUGUAUAGAGACCCAAGCCAACUAUACGGAGUUUUUCACCAUCGUUUCCAGCAGUCAGACGUGUGAAUUUCGUAGUACAAAUGCCGCGGUAUUGCGUAUUUUGUUCGAAAAAGAGUGGUAAAAAUUCCUCCAACUUUACCUCCAGACGAAUGCGGUUGGAAAGAAGGAAACAACAAGUACGUUUUUCAUUGGUUUGAAGGAGGUCAACUUCCAGAAACGAUAGAUGAUAUCAAAUUGAAUGAAGAUGUCAAUGAAGUCAAUGAACGUGAUGGGGAAGAUUCCUCGGGAAGUGAUGACGAUGAAGAGUCUUCGGAUGAAAUUUAUAGCAGUGGCCUUGAUAGUGAUGAGUCAACAGAAAGUAAUAGGAUUAGCUGUAGUAGUUUGCCACUCCAAUUUCAUGUUUUUAUUAAAAAAAGUUUGAGCCAUUCCUGGAAUGAGUUAAAAUGACGGAGUUUAUUACACCUGGAUCGAACGGACCCGGCGCUUCCUUGCCAACUGAAGGUUAUUACGUUUAUUCCUAAAGUGUGUUCUGUCAGGACAAGCAGAAUUGGGUUGAAUGAAAUGGCUAGUUGAAAAUGCAGCCAAGUCCCGGAAUAUAGAAAAAUUUUCAGUGGAUACCUGAUUGAAGAGCAACUUCAAUUAAAAUGUUCCCAAACUAUGCGACUUUCAAAAUACCUACAUUUUAUAUGACAGAUUGGUGCAUCUAAAUGGUA
Long non-coding RNA from Diorhabda carinulata, 830 nucleotides. RefSeq lists it as uncharacterized. The transcript is spliced from 3 exons. The record is from RefSeq and is a predicted model, not a curated record. Lineage: Eukaryota; Metazoa; Arthropoda; Insecta; Coleoptera; Chrysomelidae.